RNAcentral lists this ribosomal RNA (301 nucleotides) under uncultured bacterium. Its description in RNAcentral is "partial 16S ribosomal RNA". It matches the Rfam family "Bacterial small subunit ribosomal RNA", at positions 509 to 807 of the family's 1533-position model. The record is from RNAcentral.
CAGUAGCCGCGGGAAUACGAAGGGGGCUAGCGUCGUUCGGGAUUACUGGGCGUAAAGCGCACGUAGGCGGAUAUUUAAGUCAGGGGUGAAAUCCCGCAGCCCAACUGCGGAACUGCCUUUGAUACUGGGUAUCUUGAGUAUGGAAGAGGUUAGUGGAAUUGCGAGUGUAGAGGUGAAAUUCGUAGAUAUUCGCAGGAACACCAGUGGCGAAGGCGGCUAACUGGUCCAUAACUGACGCUGAGGUGCGAAAGCGUGGGGAGCAAACAGGAUUAGAUACCCCAGUAGUCCCUGUCUCUUAUAC